Molecule: long non-coding RNA, 4418 nt
Organism: Sarcophilus harrisii (Tasmanian devil)
Lineage: Eukaryota; Metazoa; Chordata; Mammalia; Dasyuromorphia; Dasyuridae
Exons: 4
Source: RefSeq, a predicted model, not a curated record
GUGAAGCUGGUGAAGGAGGACAGGCCCAGCCCAAGGCAGGCUUGUUUACAAGGACAGACUGCAUUUCCCUCUCCUGUGUACCACUUCUGAGCAUGCCUUAUGCAAUUGAUAACAAGGAUAGAUAAUAAUUCACUUCUCUUAUCUGAUAUUCAAAACACCCUGGAAAGUAGGAUCACUAUUCUGAUGCCCACUUUAUAGGGGAGGAAACUGAGGCUCACAAAUAUCCAGUGACCUGCUCCAAGUCCCAUAGCUAGGAAGAGGCAGGGCUGAGAUUCGAACCCCAGUCUCCUGCCUGGGUUCCAUACUCUCCUCACUCCCUAUGACUCCUCUCACUUUUGUCUUUGACAUUCUGUGGUCUGAAUUUCACAAAGACACCAUUGAGAUAAGCGGAAAUUACCUCCUGUAUUCACUCAAUGAUUAACUUGGAAACAAAGAGCCUGGUACAAGAACAGCAGGCCUCAGGCCCGGGAGUCCAAUACAACCUAAAGGUUUUUCUGUUGUCCGAAAGCUAAGUCGCCCUUGUCCCUGCUUAUACUUUGCCUAACUAGGUGGGUGACAUUCCUUUGGCUCCCAGGAUUAUCUAACUUUCAUCAUCUCUUCUGGGGGUUUCAGUCCUAACUGAUCCAAUCACUUAUCUUGGUCACAGCAUGAGGUCUCAGAGCUGAUCGAGCUUCCUUGGCACAGAGUCCGAUAUGCUGAGACCCCGGGCAGCCGAUGGGAAACUUUUUGGCGGGUGGCCCUACUACCUCCAAGGCCAAACAUUUGAAGCUGGUUAAUCUCGGUCACUUAGAUAGAUGUCAGCUACUUCCUGCCUUGAUUGCUAAAUGGACUAGGGACAUUUUGGCAACUCCUGAACUUGUCAUAGCGAGGAAUGAUCGUUUCAUUCAUCUCCCAUGGAAGGAGGGUGUCUGGGGGUUUAUUGAUGGCUUCAGAUGAAUAUUGGCUUUGUGGCCUUGGGGCUGGUGAGGCAGGAAGCAGGAAGCUGCGUUUCUUCAGUGGCAGGGUGAAUUCAGUUAACGGUUUAGCGGGGUGUUAGGAGCGAACUAGAAGGGUAACACCCAAAGGAUCAGUGGCCAGGAGAUGGAGAGUGAGGGACUGGUCCCUCAAAAUAUUCUUCAGUAACUCAAUGAAGCCUACUGCUUCAGUAUGUCAAAGAUGCAUAGAAUGGUAUUUCUGGAAUCAAGUAAUUUCCAAUAGAUUGUAAACUUCUCCAGGGCAGGGAUGACUUCAUUUGAUGAUUCUCUUUCACUGGCACCUGACGCAGGGCUUGGCGCAUUUGUUUGGUGUGUGGGCACCCCUUCCGCUCACACUGAUGCCAGUCCUGCUAUUGCUUAAGAUGCAGUUUUGGAGAACUGCUGGGGCUGAAAUGUUUCUCCUCCUGGGACCGACCUGUUGACGAGAUCCUCUGAAUUCAGACAAGACAUGACUGGGCUCAGAGUCGAAGCCUUUCUAGCUUGGCGAGCAUAGGAUUAUAGAUUUAGAACUAGAAGGGAUCUCCGAGGUCAUUUAUUCUAACCCCCUUAUUUUAUAGAUGAAAAAAUUUGAGUCCCAGAAAGGGAAAGACUUGAAUUUGGAUACCUUGUAAAUAUAGAAUGUCCCAAAAGUCUGUGUGCCAUUAUAAGUUCUAAUAUUGGGGGCACUCGUACUCAUACGCAUGCAUACGUGUGUGUAUGUAUGUAUAUUGUUGCUCGUGCUUUAUUUUCAAAGAGGACCGGUGACAUCAAGAGAGGUGAUGUCUUGACUUUCCAGUGAACUGGAUUAGCACCAAGUUGUCGUCCUCACACUCUCUUCCCGACUUACUGAAGUCCAGUAGCAAGUCAAAAGUGCAGACAACUGGAGAUGGCCCGGGAUGCCGUGAGUGAACUUGGCAUCUUUGGCGUCUCUGAUGUCUGACCAAGCUCUAAGCAGUCCACGGUGCCUGCUUCAGGCACGUGGCCAAUGAAUACGUUCCAGCUUCUUAAAGUCACAGGUGAGGAGUGGGAGAAGGCAGACAUGAGAGGUGGAUGAGUGGCCCUGAAAAGAGCCUGGCAGCCCUCACACCAGGGAGCUAAUACGCUUAAAUGCCAUCUAUUCACAUACAUAGAAAUAUACUCUGAUGUCUAUGUAUUUAUGUAUUCGCUUUAUAUUUACUUCCAUAUAUACUUAUGGAUUUCAUUGUUGCCUCCACUAUUAAAAUACAAACUCCUUACAAGUAGGGAUUUUUUUUUGGGGGGGGGGGAGGGGGACCUGUGUCUUCUUUGCCUAGUGUAAUGUCAGGCACAUUGUAAGUGCUUAAGAAAUGCUUGUUUAAUCCAAUUCAUGAGAAAUCAGGGGAGGGACUUGUGCUUCAGCAUAGGAAAUAAAACGCCACCUUUGGAGUUUCAAAGGUGUGUCUACACCUAGGCAAGAAUGUAAAAUCGAUCUUUUCUGCAUACAAAAAAGAAAAAAAAUGCCAGUUCAUUAACUGAAAGAUUUUCCCGAGGCCACCAUGGCAUUAAGUAGAAGGCUUUAAUUCCCUCAAUAACUACCUACCCAUGGGAAUCAGUAGUCAUUUUGUUUCAUGCUUACGGAGAUUUGUUGGAAAGUCCCUGAAAGACAGGAGGCCAGAGCAUCUACCAUCUUGCCUUGAUGGCAAGAAAAUUUGGGUUCAAAGCCCUGCCUCUGUUUUAGGGGAAAGAUGAGUUUUUUAGAUAUUGGGUUUGCGAUGUCUCUGAGAUUUCCAGUGUAAUAUGUCAGAUGGGUCAUUGGUGAUGGGAGAAUAUUAUGCUACCUUCUCUGGGAUCAACAUCUUCCACGUCUUCCGUUCUUUUGACCGAUAUAGCCAAUAAGAAUUUUUUCAGCACCCAGCACAGUGCGAGGCUGUGGAGAUACAAAGAAUCUCUGUUCAGAAGGAGCUGUCAUUCUAAUGUAGGAGAUAACAUGUAGCUAAGUAAAUACAUCCAGCAUAAAUAUGAAAUGAAUAAAUAUAAAUAUGUACAAAGUAGCUAAUGAAUAUGAGGUAGUUUUGGAGGGAGGGCUCUAGCAACUGAAGAGGUAUCAAAUCAACAAGGCUUCAUGCCAGAGGUGGUGCCUUAGUUUAAAGGAAGAGAUGGACUCUGAGGCAGUGUUAAGGAAGGAGCAUGGGAAACAACCACUGGCAAAGGCAUGGAGAUGGGAAAUGGAGUGUUCCAUGUGAGGAACACAAAGAGGGUUAGUUUGAUUGGAUCAUAAAAUUCAGAAUGGGGAGUAAUAUACCAAGAAACUGGAAAGAUCGGUUGAUGGCUGGAGCGUUAAGGGUUUUUAAACUAAACAAAUGGGGCAGCUAGAUGGUGUACCAGCCCCGGAGUCAAGAUUUCAGACAUUAGCUGUGUGACUCAAGGCAAAUCACUUAACCUGAUUGCCUCCAAAGAAGAAAUACCAAAAACAAAGGAUAUUAUAUUUAUUAAUGGAAGCAACAGGCAUCCACUGAAGUUGGUUCACUAGAGGAAUCAGACGGCCAGAGCUGCCUUUAGGGGAAAAUCAUCCUGCCAGAUACAAACAGGAACGGACUGGACUAGGAAGACAAAUCUCAGGCAGGGAGGCCAACUAAGAGGCUGUAGCAAGAAUCUAAAGGAGAGGUGAUAAUGGCCUCAAUUAAGGUGGUAACUGGGUGAAUAAAAGGCUGGAAGGUGAGAGGUCUAGAGAUAGCAAUAGCAAGAAUGGAUAUCCAAUGUGAGGCAAAGUGAGGAGCUGAGAACACCGAGGUUAAAUCUGGGAGACUGAAAGGAUGAUGGCACCUUCCGCAGAGAAGCAGAGAAGUCUGGGAGAGGAGUCUCUAUACCUGAUCUAGUUAUCUGUUAUAUAUAGUCUAUUGGUUUAUUCUAGAUGAUCCAGUUCUAUUUACAAAGUGGAUGGAUGAAAAUUUCAUAUUAAAUGUCACUGGUUUUGUCAAGGUUUAUAAUUUUGGAGGUACAUGAGAGAAAGAUAUGUUAAACUUAAAGAGGCGAACUUCCAAAAGUCAUCUCCAUAGUUCUGCUACCAAAUAAUCUAUAUAAUUCUAGUUCAUUUGACCCCUGUAGACAUCACAUCUGUGACUGGAGAUCCAUUGGAAAGUCACUGAAAGGCAGUAGGCCAUCGCGUCUACCAUCUUGCCUCGAUGUCAAGAUUUCAGUUCAAAGUCCUGCCUCUGUUCAAGGUGAAAGAUGGGCUGGAGUUGGACUGUAAUGUAUGGUCUGUCAACCUGGGCAUCUUCAAAGUAUGAUUCAGGGAGAAUGGCUUCUUCACUGAAAGGGACUGAACAAACCUGACUUCCACAUUAUUGCUACCUAAGAUAAGUAAAGAGACGGAGACCUGAGCCGGCAGAGAGUCUGGGUAAGACAAGAGAGCCAUGUCUAUCCCAGGAUGGUAGGUCAAGAGCUGGAAGAGAUCUCAAGCCAUCUGGGUCAGCCCUAUUUUACAGAGGAGGAAACUGAGGCUCAAGG